AUUUUGUUUCACCUUGAUUGAAUCAGUUUCGAUUUGCAGGAAAGCAAAUGCACUGAUUAGCUGAGGCUCGUCUCUCUUUAUGGGCGAGGGCCAAAAUGACAGUUGACUGUCCCCCCUCUCUGCUAGCUGAGCUAAUGGUACUGUACGUUUGCUGCCACUGCAGGAAACAUGAGAACAUGUGGCACAAACAUCUGUCAGUAUCUCUGCCCCCACCCCAAUUGCACAGGAAUGUUGCACCCAGAUGACAAUGAUGCAUGUUCUUUCUGCAGGGAUUGUCUGGGGUGCCAGGUCAGCCGGGGGAGCCGGGCAAAGAGGGCAAAAGGGGACGCAGAGGGAAGACCGGGGAGCCCGGACCCAGAGGCCCACCGGGUGGGAUCGGAGCCGCCGUGGAAAAGGGGGAGAGGGGAGAUCCCGUAUGUAUUUUCCCACCGCUGUGACAUUUACCACACUGUUGCAUUAGAGUCAUUAACAGAGGUGUUCUACCACAGGGUCAGCCGGGUGCUGCAGGUACCAGCGGAGUGA
This 522-nucleotide long non-coding RNA is filed under the name Takifugu rubripes (torafugu). RNAcentral describes it as "lncRNA (ENSTRUG00000030363.1)". The record is from RNAcentral. Lineage: Eukaryota; Metazoa; Chordata; Actinopteri; Tetraodontiformes; Tetraodontidae.